RNAcentral lists this transfer RNA (65 nucleotides) under Pseudolestes mirabilis. RNAcentral's name for it is "tRNA-Pro". Lineage: Eukaryota; Metazoa; Arthropoda; Insecta; Odonata; Pseudolestidae. The record is from RNAcentral.
CAGAGAGUAGUUUAAAUUAAAAUUUUAAUUUUGGAGAUUAAGGAUGAAGGUGUUUUCUUCUCUGA